Stegastes partitus (bicolor damselfish) is the source of this 105-nucleotide long non-coding RNA. RefSeq lists it as uncharacterized. The record is from RefSeq and is a predicted model, not a curated record. The transcript has 4 exons. Lineage: Eukaryota; Metazoa; Chordata; Actinopteri; Pomacentridae.
GAUGAUGAUGAUCCUGUCAUUCAGUGUCUGUUUAGGCUGUUGUGUAAAUGAUAUAUUACUCAAAACAUAUACAAUCAUUUAAGUUUAAAGAAUAAGAAUAAUUAA